GGUAGACUACUUUCGGGUAGUUGAGAGUGGCGCACGGGUGCGUAACGCGUAUGCAACCUACCUUGUACAGGGGGAUAGCCCGGAGAAAUUCGGAUUAAUACCCCAUAGCAUUACCAGAUGGCAUCUGAAGGUAAUUAAAGAUUUAUCGGUACAAGAUGGGCAUGCGUGACAUUAGUUAGUUGGUAGGGUAACGGCCUACCAAGACUAUGAUGUCUAGGGGUUCUGAGAGGAUGAUCCCCCACACUGGUACUGAGAUACGGACCAGACUCCUACGGGAGGCAGCAGUAGGGAAUAUUGGUCAAUGGGCGAGAGCCUGAACCAGCCAUGCCGCGUGCAGGAAGACGGCCUUCUGGGUUGUAAACUGCUUUUAUACGGGAAGAAAAGACCCUUGCGAGGGAGAUUGCCGGUACCGUAUGAAUAAACACCGGCUAACUCCGUGCCAGCAGCCGCGGUAAUACAGAGGGUGCAAGCGUUGUCCGGAUUUAUUGGGUUUAAAGGGUGCGUAGGCGGGCCUUUAAGUCAGUGGUGAAAGCCUGCAGCUUAACUGUAGAACUGCCAUUGAUACUGGAGGCCUUGAGUGUACUACAGGAAGGCGGAAUUUAUGGUGUAGCGGUGAAAUGCAUAGAUACCAUAAAGAACACCGAUAGCGUAGGCAGCUUACUGGAGUACAACUGACGCUGAGGCACCAAAGCAUGGGGAGCGAACAGGAUUAGAUACCCUGGUAUUCCAUGCCGUAAACGAAGAUUACUCAAUGUUGGCGAAACACCUGUCGCGACCCAGCGAAAGCGUUAAGUAAUCCACCUGGGGAGUA
This 811-nucleotide ribosomal RNA is filed under the name uncultured Bacteroidota bacterium. RNAcentral describes it as "bacterial SSU rRNA". It matches the Rfam family "Bacterial small subunit ribosomal RNA", at positions 68 to 882 of the family's 1533-position model. Lineage: Bacteria; Pseudomonadati; Bacteroidota. The record is from RNAcentral.